AAAGUAUUACAGUAGCUUAUUUAAAUGCUUUAAUAUCUAUUAUUUACUUAUAUUUUUUUUAUUUUUCUUAAGAUAUGUAAUUUAGGCAAUUAUUUAUUUUACCUAGUGGAUUUUUUAAUUCUGAUUAAUACUAUUGUGCCAGCUAUCGCGGUUAUACAAGAAGAAUAAGUAUUUAUUGUAAAAAGUUGUAAUGAAGUAAAGAAAUAUCUUUAAUAUUAGUUUAAUAUAUUUUAUAGGUAUAUUAUUACAUAAUAAUAAAAACGGAUUAGAUACCCGUGUAUUUUAUGUAUUUAAUAAUUUAUUUAGUAAAAAAAAAUUAAACUGUUAGACGGUGUAUUGUUAACUACAGGGAAAUUCGUUAAUUAAUUGAUAAUCCUCGUUAAUUCUACCUUAUAUUAAGGUUGUGUAUGUCCGUCAAGUAACCAUAUUAUAAUAUGUAUAUACUAAUAAUAGUUUAAGAUUAUAUGUCAGGUCCACAUGCACUUAUUAUAAGGGUUUAAUGAAUUUUUAUAUAUAUUUUUUUUUAUCAGGAAAAAUGUUAUUUUUGAAUGCAAACCUGUUAGUAAUUUAAGUUUUAUUGAUAAUUAAAUGAAUUAUGUUAAUAAUGAGUACUCACCGCCCGCUAUUUAAUUAUUUUUAUAAUUAAAAAGGCGUAACAAGGUAGUUUAUUUAGAAAAAUAAACUGGUCC
Molecule: ribosomal RNA, 689 nt
Filed under: Clavelina oblonga
Lineage: Eukaryota; Metazoa; Chordata; Ascidiacea; Aplousobranchia; Clavelinidae
Description: 12S ribosomal RNA
Source: RNAcentral